CUGACCCCCUUAUAGCCUGCCCCUGCCCCUCACUCCAGCCUUCACCCUCCUAUUGUCUGUGUCCAUAGGUUAUGCAUAUGUACAUAUGAGUUCUUUGGUUGAUCUCUUCCCACCCACUCACACAUCCACCCCUUCCUUCCCUCUGAGAUGGAACAAUCCGUUCCUUGCUUCUAUGUCUAUGCCAGGCCCUUUAUGCUCCUGGUCUGGCGGAUUCUUGCCCUGCGCAGUUCCGCCAAUGCACUUGUUGGCUCUGUGCUUUGUGUUUGCUGCCUUUGAGUCGCAGACAAAAAUAAAAAGGAAGUUCAUUUUCAAAUUCAGGAGAAGUUAUUAAAAUUGUUUAGCAAGAGCACUUCCUCUAUGAUUUGUUAAGCAACUGAAUGACAUGGGCCAGCUUUUGUUUGGAGUUCAGACCCAUUUCUGUAAAGAAAUUGCAAGUGUGAGAAAAUAACAAUCCUAUCAACAUCAGAGACUUCUAAACAUAUUUUUUAAAAUUUCAGAAAAGUCCUUAACAAAUCAACUGAGGACCUAAAACAAGUGCUUCAAAAACUUCUGCCCAGGAAAUGAAAUAUUACAAUGGUCACUUGUGUUGCAUAGGGUAAAUGGACCAGUAAGAGUUACAAUAUUAUUUUUUUAUUUUUCAAAUACAUUUUUUUUUUUCUCUGAAGAACUUACCAUUUUGCAUGUGGAGUGUCCUGGUGAAAUGAGGACAGGAAAUGAGAGGCUGAUGCCUAAAGACAUUUAAGGGACAGAGAGUAAGGUCAUCCAGUGUGUCACCAUCAGUAUUGGAGCUGGAGUCUCCUCACCCCACAUCCUUCACACUUCUCGAGGUGAAGAGUGUGGAGAGGGUUCUAUUUUUGCCUCCACCUCUUAUGAAGCAGUCUGGCCAGGGAAAGCCAUUUAGCAUUUUUUUUGAGGGAUCUCAGUUUGUGAUCUCUAAAAUGGGAAUAGCAGUAUCAUGUAUCCCAUUGAAAUUUU
This is a long non-coding RNA of Pipistrellus kuhlii (Kuhl's pipistrelle), 975 nucleotides long. RefSeq lists it as uncharacterized. The record is from RefSeq and is a predicted model, not a curated record. NCBI's taxonomy places the organism in Eukaryota, Metazoa, Chordata, Mammalia, Chiroptera, Vespertilionidae. The transcript is spliced from 2 exons.